AGAGUUUGAUCCUGGCUCAGAACGAACGCUGGCGGUAUGCUUAACACAUGCAAGUCGAACGAGAAAGUUCCUUCGGGGAUGAGUAAAGUGGCAAACGGGUGAGUAAUAUAUAUGAAUCUACCCUGUAGUGAGGAACAAGCGUUGGAAACGGCGUCUAAUACCACAUACUACCGAUUUAUCGGGAAAGGAUAGUCUCUCGGGGCUAUUUGCUAUAGGAUGAGCAUAUAUCGGAUUAGCUAGUUGGUAGGGUAAAGGCCUACCAAGGCGAUGAUCCGUAGCUGGUCUGAGAGGGUGAUCAGCCACAUUGGGACUGCGACACGGCCCAAACUCCUACGGGAGGCAGCAGUGAGGAAUAUUGGACAAUGGACGAAAGUCUGAUCCAGCAAUACCGCGUGAAUGAUGAAGGUCUUAGGAUUGUAAAAUUCUUUUAGUGGGGAAGAUAAUGACGGUACCCACAGAAAAAGCACCGGCUAACUUCGUGCCAGCAGCCGCGGUAAUACGAAGGGUGCUAGCGUUGUUCGGAUUUAUUGGGCGUAAAGCGUAUGUAGACGGUUUAGUAAGUUAGUUGUUAAAGCCCAGAGCUCAACUUUGGAAUGCCAAUUAAAACUGCUUUACUAGAGUAUGAUAGAGGAUGGCAGAAUUUCUAGUGUAGGGGUGAAAUCCGUAGAUAUUAGAAGGAAUACCAGUAGCGAAAGCGGCUGUCUUAGUCAUUACUGACGUUGAGAUACGAAGGCGUGGGGAGCGAACAGGAUUAGAUACCCUGGUAGUCCACGCAGUAAACGAUGAUCACUAAGUGCUUGAAUUUAUUUUGGGCGCUAAAGCUAACGCGUUAAGUGAUCCGCCUGGGUAGUACGGCCGCAAGGCUAAAACCUAAAGGAAUUGACGGGGACCCGCACAAGCGGUGGAACAUGUGGUUUAAUUCGAUGGUCCGCGAAGAACCUUACCAGUUUUUGACAUUGCAAUCGUAGAUACUAGAGAUAGUUUCGUCAGUUCGGCUGGAUUGUGAACAGGGAUGCACGGCCGUCGUCAGCUCGUGCCGUGAGGUGUUAGGUUGAGUCCUUUAACGAGCGCAACCCCCAUCUUUAUUUGCCAGCGGGUAAUGCCGGGAACUAUAAAGAAACUGCCAAUGAUAAGUUGGAGGAAGGAGGGGAUGAGGUCAGGUCAUCAUGUCCUUUAUGAACUGGGCUACACACAUGUUACAAUGGGAGUUACAAUUAGGAACGAAGGGGUGACCCGGAGUAAAUCUGUAAAAAGCUCUCUCAGUUCGGAUUACAGGCUGCAACUCGCCUGUAUGAAGUUGGAAUCGCUAGUAAUCGUAAAUCAGCACGUUACGGUGAAUACGUUCUCGGGUCUUGUACACACUGCCCGCCAAGCCAUGAAAAUUCUUUUUACCUGAAUUAUUCGAGCUAACCCGCAAGGGAGGCAGCAUAACACGGUAGGGGGAGUAAUUGGGGUUAAGGCGGAACAAGGUA
This 1472-nucleotide ribosomal RNA is filed under the name metagenome. RNAcentral describes it as "bacterial SSU rRNA". It matches the Rfam family "Bacterial small subunit ribosomal RNA". The record is from RNAcentral.